GCCCGGGUGGCGAAACUGGUAGACGCAAGGGACUUAAAAUCCCUCGGGUGGCAACAUCCGUGCCGGUUCGA
Molecule: transfer RNA, 71 nt
Filed under: Gammaproteobacteria bacterium RBG_16_57_12
Lineage: Bacteria; Pseudomonadati; Pseudomonadota; Gammaproteobacteria
Description: tRNA-Leu
Rfam family: tRNA
About the family: Transfer RNA (tRNA) molecules are approximately 80 nucleotides in length. Their secondary structure includes four short double-helical elements and three loops (D, anti-codon, and T loops).
Source: RNAcentral